UAAAUAAUGGAAAAUAAAGGUGCUAAGUACUGCGAGUACAGCUUAAAAGGGAAGCAGGUAAAAGUCCUGCACGGUCCCGCCACUGUAAUGGGGAGAUGUUUCAUAUAGGCCACUGGUACAUACCGGGAAGGCGUGAAGCAUUAAUGAACCAGAGUCAGAAGACCUGCCUUUGUUUAAUGAACCAA
Molecule: non-coding RNA, 185 nt
Filed under: Desulfosporosinus lacus
Lineage: Bacteria; Bacillati; Bacillota; Clostridia; Eubacteriales; Desulfitobacteriaceae
Source: RNAcentral